This is a long non-coding RNA of Hippocampus comes (tiger tail seahorse), 599 nucleotides long. RefSeq lists it as uncharacterized. The record is from RefSeq and is a predicted model, not a curated record. The transcript is spliced from 4 exons. Lineage: Eukaryota; Metazoa; Chordata; Actinopteri; Syngnathiformes; Syngnathidae.
UCCCACUAUCGGUGGAACGUUUUACUGUUUGCAGCCACGUCAGGUGACGCGUGAACAACAGUCAACAGUCGCCACCGGGGGAUGAGAGGAUGGGAAGAGGUCGGGCUUGUGUGAGGUCACGGGAUGGGCAACUGGCGGCCAGCCACUCCCCCCAGAAGCACUGAUGAAAAAUGGUGAACCCUCCAGCAUUGAACUUGUCCAUCCCUACCCUACAUCUUCAGAGAUGUGCCUGUAAAAUGGUCAAUGGAUUGCACUUAUGUAGCACUUUGUCUUCGCCAACGGGUGCCCAAAGUGCUGAACAAAGUCUCACAUCCAGACUUAAAUACAUCAAUGGAUGGCUACUGCCAUGCAAGGCGCUGCCAAGCCGACAGCCAGCAAACCAGGGUUCAGUGUCAUGCUAAUGGAUGCUUUGGCAGUGGAGAGUCAGAGACAGAUUCAAACCGGCGAGCCAUCAGUGGACUCUAUGUACUCCGGUAUCCUCCCACAUUCCAAAAACAUGCAUGUGUGCAAAGAAACUGGGGUGUUCAAGUUCAUCGAGUUCCUGUCAAUCUUGGCAAGCGCAUCAACAUUGGCAUCACACAGAAAUGUUCCAUUUCAGU